UCGUGGAUUGAUUUGUCUGGUUAAUUCCGAUAACGAACGAGACCUUACUCUGCUAAUUACUUGGGUUCAGUUUCAAUUUUAUGGCUGGAUUUACCGAAAACCAAGUUCUUAGAGAGACAGCCGGCGUUUAGCCGGAGGAAGUUUGAGGCAAUAACA
RNAcentral lists this ribosomal RNA (156 nucleotides) under uncultured eukaryote. Its description in RNAcentral is "partial 18S ribosomal RNA". It matches the Rfam family "Eukaryotic small subunit ribosomal RNA", at positions 1299 to 1458 of the family's 1831-position model. The record is from RNAcentral.